RNAcentral lists this ribosomal RNA (508 nucleotides) under uncultured bacterium. Its description in RNAcentral is "partial 16S ribosomal RNA". It matches the Rfam family "Bacterial small subunit ribosomal RNA", at positions 28 to 507 of the family's 1533-position model. The record is from RNAcentral.
GACGAACGCUGGCGGCGUGCCUAAUACAUGCAAGUCGAACGCUUCUUUCCUCCCGAGUGCUUGCACUCAAUUGGAAAGAGGAGUGGCGGACGGGUGAGUAACACGUGGGUAACCUACCCAUCAGAGGGGGAUAACACUUGGAAACAGGUGCUAAUACCGCAUAACAGUUUAUGCCGCAUGGCAUAAGAGUGAAAGGCGCUUACGGGUGUCGCUGAUGGAUGGACCCGCGGUGCAUUAGCUAGUUGGUGAGGUAACGGCUCACCAAGGCCACGAUGCAUAGCCGACCUGAGAGGGUGAUCGGCCACACUGGGACUGAGACACGGCCCAGACUCCUACGGGAGGCAGCAGUAGGGAAUCUUCGGCAAUGGACGAAAGUCUGACCGAGCAACGCCGCGUGAGUGAAGAAGGUUUUCGGAUCGUAAAACUCUGUUGUUAGAGAAGAACAAGGACGUUAGUAACUGAACGUCCCCUGACGGUAUCUAACCAGAAAGCCACGGCUAACUACGUG